This 815-nucleotide ribosomal RNA is filed under the name uncultured bacterium. Its description in RNAcentral is "bacterial SSU rRNA". It matches the Rfam family "Bacterial small subunit ribosomal RNA", at positions 144 to 960 of the family's 1533-position model. The record is from RNAcentral.
UAACCUUGCGAAAGUAAGACUAAUACCCAAUGACGUCUCUAGAAGACAUCUGAAGGAGAUUAAAGAUUUAUCGGUGAUGGAUGGGGAUGCGUCUGAUUAGCUUGUUGGCGGGGUAACGGCCCACCAAGGCGACGAUCAGUAGGGGUUCUGAGAGGAAGGUCCCCCACAUUGGAACUGAGACACGGUCCAAACUCCUACGGGAGGCAGCAGUGAGGAAUAUUGGUCAAUGGACGAGAGUCUGAACCAGCCAAGUAGCGUGCAGGAUGACGGCCCUAUGGGUUGUAAACUGCUUUUAUAAGGGAAUAAAGUGAGUCUCGUGAGACUUUUUGCAUGUACCUUAUGAAUAAGGACCGGCUAAUUCCGUGCCAGCAGCCGCGGUAAUACGGAAGGUCCGGGCGUUAUCCGGAUUUAUUGGGUUUAAAGGGAGCGUAGGCCGGAGAUUAAGCGUGUUGUGAAAUGUAGACGCUCAACGUCUGCACUGCAGCGCGAACUGGUUUCCUUGAGUACGCACAAAGUGGGCGGAAUUCGUGGUGUAGCGGUGAAAUGCUUAGAUAUCACGAAGAACUCCGAUUGCGAAGGCAGCUCACUGGAGCGCAACUGACGCUGAAGCUCGAAAGUGCGGGUAUCGAACAGGAUUAGAUACCCUGGUAGUCCGCACGGUAAACGAUGGAUGCCCGCUGUUGGUCUGAAUAGGUCAGCGGCCAAGCGAAAGCAUUAAGCAUCCCACCUGGGGAGUACGCCGGCAACGGUGAAACUCAAAGGAAUUGACGGGGGCCCGCACAAGCGGAGGAACAUGUGGUUUAAUUCGAUGAUAC